RNAcentral lists this long non-coding RNA (735 nucleotides) under Vombatus ursinus (common wombat). RNAcentral describes it as "lncRNA (ENSVURG00010008533.1)". The record is from RNAcentral. Lineage: Eukaryota; Metazoa; Chordata; Mammalia; Diprotodontia; Vombatidae.
AAUCAUUUGGGUAAACAGCCAAGCUUCCAGGCUUAACGCCUGGCUCCCUCCCUACUCCCCCCUUGCACGUCCCCCCCCCGCCUCCCUUACCCCCCCUUCAACCCCUACAUCCACCCACACUUUGCUCCGGAGCCUCUUCCAGAGAAAGCUCCACGCUUUGAUUCGGGAGCUGAGUGCUCCCCAGGUUAAAAGUGCUGCAGACCUGAAUGUCCCAUAACUAUGCCCCGGGAGGCAGAAGCGGACUGGAGGGCAGUAGGAACGGCCUGGGCCACGCUCAGCAUGUGGACUGCUUGGGAGUGAUUUAAAGCAAGAAGUAAGGGAGCUGGAAAGCAGGAAGCAAUGGGAAGGAAACAAACAGAAGUUCAAAGAGGUGCAUUUGAAAUUCAUCAGGAAAGCUCGCGAUCCCGGCACUGACCAAAACUUUUACUGUGUUCUCCCUUUCCCUACCGGCAUAUUUUCCAAUGGUGUGCUUUAUUUUUGUUUGGUAUCAAAUGAUGAGAAACAAGGCCUCAUGGUGCAAGACAUUUGGCUGCUUUGAAAUCCUCAGCGUUGCUUUUGGUUCACCCCUUUAUACGUGGCUUUAAAGAAUGAAGGAAAAAAAAGGAAAUGUUUAAGAAAAUUCAUUUGCUUAAGUCCUGAAAGAAAGCUUGUAUUGUAGAACAAUGUAAGUGACAAUAUUACAACUGAAUUCUCUUCUAUCUGCUUGCUGGUUUUCAUGAUUGCAUUCUGUCUCCU